GAAAGAAACCGCUGUUAAGAGACUAUCAACAGACUCUGGACAAGGGAUGCAAGAAUUCAUGAAUGAAGUGAUUGUGAUUUCCAAACUCCAACACAGGAAUCUUGUCAAACUGCUGGGAGGUUGUGUUGAGAAAGAGGAGAAGAUUCUGAUAUAUGAAUACAUGCCAAACAAAAGCUUGGAUGCUUGUCUCUUUGAUCAGUUCAACACAUCCCAUUCUUCUUAUGCAUUUAAAAAAGUUUUUAGCAGCAGAGUUUUCAUAAUAUACAUGUUUUGAACAGGUCCUACAAAUCCAACAAAGAAGUUGUUGGAUUGGAAUAUGCGUUACAGCAUUAUCGAGAGGCAUCGGGAGAGGCAUCUUGUACCUUCACAGAGACUCAAGACUAAGGAUCAUUCACAGAGACCUCAAGCCAAGUAAUAUUCUCCUAGACCAAGACUGGAAUCCAAAAAUCUCUGAUUUCGGGAUGGCAAGAAUAUUCGGAGGCAAUGAAGACCAUGGAAAUACUGCAAGAGUCGUGGGAACAUACGGAUACAUGGCGCCAGAAUACGGAAUGGGAGGCAGAUUUUCUGAAAAAUCCGAUGUAUACAGCUUCGGAGUGCUGAUAUUGGAGAUUAUAAAAGGAAAAAGAAUACACACUAUUUCAAUGAUGAAUUGUCCUCGAGUCUCAUAGGAUGUGCAUGGAAAAUGUGGAAUGAGGGUAAGGGUUUGAGCUUCGUGGAGGAAAGCAUCGAUUCGCAAGUAGGGAGACAGAGGAGGUUCGAUGCAUUCAGGUAGGGCUGCUGUUUGUCCAAGAAUCACUGAACAACAGACCUGCGAUUCAAACCGUUCUGUCGAUGCUGAGUGGUGAAAUUGUGGAGCCAAGCAACCAGGGUUUGCGGAGCAGAAUGAGUCAACGAACCAUAAUGGCUACUCCAAUAACGAGCUCACUCUCACCGUGCUUGAUGGUCGAUAACCCUAUUGAAACUGAUCGUCUCAGCUCGUCUU
This is a long non-coding RNA of Salvia splendens (bonfire salvia), 982 nucleotides long. RefSeq lists it as uncharacterized. The transcript is spliced from 3 exons. NCBI's taxonomy places the organism in Eukaryota, Viridiplantae, Streptophyta, Magnoliopsida, Lamiales, Lamiaceae. The record is from RefSeq and is a predicted model, not a curated record.